This 73-nucleotide transfer RNA is filed under the name Camelus bactrianus (Bactrian camel). It matches the Rfam family "tRNA". From Rfam's summary of the family: Transfer RNA (tRNA) molecules are approximately 80 nucleotides in length. Their secondary structure includes four short double-helical elements and three loops (D, anti-codon, and T loops). The record is from Rfam by way of RNAcentral. Lineage: Eukaryota; Metazoa; Chordata; Mammalia; Artiodactyla; Camelidae. RNAcentral also lists the same sequence under 2 other names.
GAGGGUAUAGCUCAAGCAGUAGAGCAUAUGCUUAGUAUGCCCACGGUCCUGGGCUCAAUUCCCAGUACCUCCU